Molecule: long non-coding RNA, 5431 nt
Organism: Cyprinus carpio carpio
Lineage: Eukaryota; Metazoa; Chordata; Actinopteri; Cypriniformes; Cyprinidae
Source: Ensembl
GUUCUUAGAAUUGGACACUUUUAACUGCAACUUAAAGCCAGUGAUUAUUUUUAUUAUUAUUGUUUUGGCAACAAAACUAAUUUAAGUGUUGCUUAAUAUGAUAUUACAGUAACACAGAAUGAGACCUCUUCUGCAGUCCAUACUCCACUCCCACAACAGCCAUUUCAUGGUCCAGAAAAACUAGCAGAAGAGCAAACAGACAUGAUACCCAAAAUAAAACGAAAAGAACCACAGACCUCUUCUGCAGGCCACACUCAACUCCCACAGCAACCAGUUCUUGGUCCAGAAGAACCAGAAGAGGAGCUAAGACACAGCGAUGGCAAGGAUCUAGGAUACGGAGUCAUGAUACCCACAAAAAUGGGACAUUGUGAGGAGAGUUGAGGGUGACUCAAAAUUCUGUAAGAGCCUGGCUGUUGUUAUAUGGGGUACCACAGUCCUCAAACAGAGGAGCGUUACUGGCAUGAAAUGCAACGCUAAAAAAGCUGCUGAGGCAAAACCUCCUCUGACUCCUGAAAAGGUGUCAGCUAUCAAAGAAUGUCUGUCUCAGAAGCUGAAGGAAAGAGGCCACACCUCAGAGGAAAUAAAUAAGCGCCUCCUAAGUGUGCGAAAAUACCUGGCUGAGAAGAUCAGUGACAUAAACCGGAUAAAAACUGUCAUUGGUAAGUAUUUACAUAAUUUACACAAACCAGUCGUAAGGGUAAUUUUUUUUUUUUAUUGAGAUUUAUAUAUCAAUAAUAAUAAUAAUAAACAAGCUUUCCAUGGAUGUAUGAUUUGUUAGGAGGACAAUAUUUGGCUGAGAUUCAACUAUUUGAAAAUCUGUAAUCUGAGGGUGCAAAAAAAAAAAAAAAAAAAAAUAUAGAGAAAAAUCGCCUUUAAAGUUGUCCAAAUGAAGUCCAAAGCAAAGCAUAUUAUCAAUCAAAAAAAUACGGUUUGAUAUAUUUACGUUAGGAAAUUUACAAAAAUAUCUUCUUGGAACAUGAUCUUUACUUAAUAUUCUAAUUAUUUUUUUGGCAUAAAAAGAAAAAUAUAUAAUUUUUGACCCAUACAAUGUAUUGUUGGCUAUUUCUACGAAUAUACCUGUGCUACUUUUGUGCUCCAGGGUCACAUUUAUUCACUCACUCAUUACAACAGACGACACUGAAUGGCACAUAAACCAAUGAGAUAUUAAGCAUAUAAUAAAUUAGGAAAACAGAAUAUAUAUAAAGACUGUCUGCUGGCUAGCGUGUUGGUCAGUGUGCAUCAAUUAACCCCUUAACUGUCACCGUCCCACCUGUGGGACACUUGGCGCUCUUUUUUUGUUGUUGUCCUUUUUCUCUAUAAAAACUUUUAGUAAUCAUCAUAAAUUAUAUAUCAUUUGAAAGCUUAGAAGCCCAAGAUUCAUCCUGUGAAAAACCAUUUUUGAAAUCGGUUGCGUUACCAUGGAAAUGGUACUUUAAAAUCUUAUGGCGGUCUCCUCCCCCUUAGUGGGCGGUGUCAAGUGUCAUAUUACAAAAUGCAUUUCGGGCUUUUAGAAUCAAAACUUUUUAUAAUCUUGGCAACAAACAUAUCAUUGGAAAGGUCUGAGUCUCGGGAUUCCAUAUUUGGUGGUUAUUUUGAGUACUGAAGUAAAAUUGACAGCAAAUCUAGGGAAAAAUUCAUUAAACAAAAUUCAAAGGAGUUUUGAUGGCUCCCAGUGGCUGUUUGUGGUAUGACGCCCUAAAUAAAAAUCUCACAGGUGUAAGGGAAACAGGUCAAUUUAGCUCAAAGGGAAUCAUUUAAGAUUUUAAAGGGAAUUUGAACAGAAUCACUGUUUCACGGCUGAUCACUGAAACGGCCAGUGAUUCGUUGAACAGGCCGUAUAACAUCAACUCUGCAAUGGAUAUUAUUAUCCAAAGUAUAGUGAAAACACUAUUAAUUAGCACAGUAACAAGAUCGGCAGUUUAAGACAUUAACUUGUAGGCACAAAACACAAGAUACUUCUCUUUUCAAUAUGAAUAAGGCUUUAUUAGAUAAAUCUAAGACAUAUAAACUAAUCUAACACAAGCACACGCACUUACACAUUCACACAAGUUGCAGGAAGAUAGAAAGUUAGGGAAGAAUGAAUUAAAGAGAAUGAAAAUGUGAAAUCCUAGUUUACAGCAAUAUGUGAAAUUGCAUAGACAUGAACAACCAUUAAUCACUUAAUUAACCCUCGCAUUGAGUUCCUCAGUGAGGUUAAAAAUUAUAUUAGAUUCACCAGUACAGAUCAGAGUCUGGAGGUACGUUACUUGCGUUGCCUGUGUAACGGGGUUACCUUUGUUGUCCUUGAAAAGGGGGUUUCCCGAGGUUGCUGAUUGGCCGGAAGUUCAGUAGUCAUUGAAGUGACGUCUUGGGAAGCCCGUGGUUGGGCGUUGGCUGACGAUGCGGAGUUGUGGGCUGGUUGAAGUUUUAGUCGGGCACUCGAGGUCAGACUCGGAGACACGGCGUUACAAAACUUAACUCAGAACACGAAACUCUCAAACGGAAAAGAAAAAGAAACUAAAGUAAAAAGAACAGAAGUAAAGUUUGACGAGACUAGGUGGUGUUCCUUCUCAUCGUGACUAAGUAGCAGCAGGCGUGCAGACCGAAGCACGCUGGGAACGGCGCUCGAAGAACACUAAAAGUGAUGACUAAAAGCAUGACUAAAAGCUAAAACUACAAGCAAAAGCUAAAAAGCAAAAAUUUGAUGGUGUCCUGAGUAUUUAAACUGGCAUUUUGGCCACACCUCAAAUGUUGUCUUGACCAAUUAGAUAUUGUCUUUGCUCGGGGUGUUGCGAUGUUUGUCCUACCCAUUCAUAAAUCAUAUGUUAUCUUAUCAAUCAUGUGGUCCGAAUUUUCCCGCUCUUGCAGGGUAUAAUUUGGACAUGAUUCCUAUGAUAAGAAUAUGAUACAUUUGACAAAUAACUGAUGGUCAGAAACGUUUCAAGCAAGAUGAUUCUAACACACACAUACUAAACAUGAAUAUGAAUACUUAAACUAUUCAACAGUUAUUAAAAAGACAUACACAAUAAGUGAUUAGAAACAUGAUAGUCAAAUGUGUAGGUUACAUAUUAUGAUAUGGAGUUAAGCAAUGGACUGAUAUUCCUUUAGAUUCCUUCCUCUGUAGAUGAACACAAAAUGAAGAUGAAGACAGUUUCUCUGCUUUUCUUUGACAUAAGGAUGUUCUGUGAAGACCAGAGGUUAAAAGGUCCCCUUAGGAAUUUCAGUCUGGUUCUGCUAGGUGGGGGGAAGUCAAUCCAACGAUCUUGUUUACUCUCAUGGGUUUACAUGUGAUGGUAACGCUGUGCAUCUCUUUGACCAUCAAUCUGGAUUACUUGCUCCAAAUUUGACAAUCUCUUCUCUGAAUUGAAAUUGUCAAUAAUUGUUCUAAUGGUGUUAAUGUUGAAAGCUGUUCUCUGAAAGAGUUGGUUGGUUAUCUUGCUUCUGACUGUGGUGCUAGGAGUUGAUUUACAACAUCUUGUUGCCUUUCUGUGGAAUUCGGGUCCUCGUGUUUCAACCAUGCUCACGAUCGAAUUUUUAAUUUGUCUGGUUCGGGUCUGAUACGCUACACAGGAACCUCAUUUUUUUUUUCAUAUCAAUUUCAAAUUUGGAACAUAACUUAUUUAGACACAAGGCUUUAAUUUUAUACCAAUUUUAGAGUAAAAACCUGUUAUGUAAAAAUAUUUAUAAUAAAUAAAAUAAAAAUUAAUAUAGCGCAUUUUAUUUAUAGUACAUUUAAACUUCUAUAACUUUUUGAUACUUUAAUUUUUUUUUAAAAUUCCACUUUUGCCAAAAUCUGCAAAUUUUCUUCUUUAAAAAUAUAUAUUCCAAAGUGUUCAUAAAUUACAAUAAUUUAAGUUUGGAUAGUGCACUUUAAUGCCUAUUUUAAAAAAAUGGGGGGUGACAGUUAAAGGGUUAAAGCAGCACAUUAAUAUACAACGGUGAUUAAACUGACUUGGAACUACCUGUGCAUUAAAUGGUUUUACUGCAUACCUACCAGCCAAUCAGAAUGGAAAAACUAACAUUAACUAAUGGAUCCUUAUUUUAAAGUGUUACUACAUUUUAAAAUAUGUUCAAGAGUGUUUCACUUAGGUCUGUUAUUGUAGGAACAUUGGCUUUACAUUUCCAUGCUUCUAAACAUGACGCUGAACAGAACGAACUGUGAUUAGUUGUUUUACUUAUGAACAUAAAAUGAGUAAUGGACAAAAGUUCACAGCUGUGAAUAUCUUGAAUCUGCUAAAUGUGCACCCAAAGUGUUGGAUGAAUUUAAGCAUGAUGAUGUUUUGUCAACAACUAAGUUUUUUGCAACUUUUUUGAGAUUGCCAUAUGAAUAUUUAUACUACGGGGCCAUUGAAUGCUUGAAUCUGAUUGGCAGACGAACGUUCUGAGGUGUGCAAUUAUUUUCUGGGUAACACACGGCAAACGUAGUUCCAGGCAGCUCUCUUGACCGCAUUAAAAUUCCAUAUCACUUCACAUAGUUAACUGUAAUAAUGGAAAUUACAGGACUAACAAAAACAACAACAUUUCCGAAAGCAAAUAAACAUGAGAUUUUUUACUAGCGAGGUAAUAAAAGCUCUGUUUAAAGAUGCUGCUGCAGCCUAUUUCACACAAGCUCUCUUUCUCUUUUUCUUUCUCUGUGUGUCUCUGUCUCUCGCUCUCUUUCUAAUAAAUUCAUUAAUAACUGCAUUAGAAUGCUAUCAACGGCUAAUGCCUCUAUUAUCAGCUUUUUAAUGACGUUUUGGAACCAGCAAAAGAGGAGUUGGAUGAGAUGUGGAAGAAAUAAUCCUACUCACAAUAGCCUUUUAAGUACAAAAACCGGACAGAUCCCUUUAAAUAAAUCAUCUGAUCGAUGUCUUGAGGUGUGGUACCCGUAGUAUAAGCGAAAUAAUUGACUUAGGGCCGUUGAAUUAGUAGAAAAAUAAUGCACACCCAAGGAUUAUUUUUAUAAUAAUUCAACAGCCCGUCAUCAAUUAUUCCUUUUAUACUACAUAAUGUAUGGAUAAUCUCACAUACUGGUAAUGUGGUUUAAGUGGUACAUUGUCCUAAUGAAUUCUUCUUCUCUUUUGCAGGUCUAAGCCAGCCACAGUGAAGCCACAAACACACUUCAUAAUUCCUGUAUCUCUAUAAUACAUUAAUUAAUAAUAAUAAUAAAAAUAUCUUAUGGAAUUUUGCCUCUUUGUUGCCAUCUCUGUUUGAAAACCUGCAAUUGCAGCUGUGUGCGGAAUUAUCUUCCUUGUGUGGGUUGUGAGUCAGCACAGCUCCGAAUCUAAUAUUUUGAGGAGUUUGUGUGGCAGUCAAAUCACUGCAUCGGUGUGGAUAUUGUACUUUGCAUUCUAUCCUACAUCUUGGAAUAUAUGACCCAGAUAAGCAUUUUUCAUCGGAUAUUGUCAUCUGAACAAGUAAGUAACAAGUCUGCCACAUUUGUUCUGACCAACUGAGGAAAAAAGCAUUACAA